Molecule: ribosomal RNA, 407 nt
Filed under: uncultured bacterium
Lineage: Bacteria
Description: partial 16S ribosomal RNA
Rfam family: Bacterial small subunit ribosomal RNA
Source: RNAcentral
AUUGAACGCUGGCGGCAGGCCUAACACAUGCAAGUCGAGCGGAGCGGCGGACGGGUGAGUAAUGCCUAGGAAACUGCCUGGUAGUGGGGGAUAACGUCCGGAAACGGGCGCUAAUACCGCAUACUAUCAGAUGAGCCUAGGUCGGCUUAGCUAGUUGGUGGGGUAAAGGCCUACCAAGGCGACGAUCCGUAACUGGUCUGAGAGGAUGAUCAGUCACACUGGAACUGAGACACGGUCCAGACUCCUACGGGAGGCAGCAGUGGGGAAUAUUGCACAAUGGGCGCAAGCCUGAUGCAGCCAUGCCGCGUGUAUGAAGAAGGCCUUAGGGUUGUAAAGUACUUUCAGCGGGGAGGCGUUACCCGCAGAAGAAGCACCGGCUAACUCCGUGCCAGCAGCCGCGGUAAUAC